GACGAACGCUGGCGGCGUGCUUAACACGUGCAAGUCGAACGGUGAAGCGCCUUCCUUUUUGGUGGGUGUGGAUGAGUGGCGAACGGGUGAGUAACACGUGAGUAACCUGCCCCCUUCUUCUGGAUAACCGCAUGAAAGUGUGGCUAAUACGGGAUAUUCUGGGUCUGUCGCAUGAUGGGUCUGGGAAAGAUAUUGUUUCGGUGGGGGAUGGGCUCGCGGCCUAUCAGCUUGUUGGUGGGGUGAUGGCCUACCAAGGCGGUGACGGGUAGCCGGCCUGAGAGGGUGGACGGUCACACUGGGACUGAGACACGGCCCAGACUCCUACGGGAGGCAGCAGUGGGGAAUAUUGCACAAUGGGCGCAAGCCUGAUGCAGCGACGCCGCGUGAGGGAUGGAGGCCUUCGGGUUGUGAACCUCUUUCGCCAGUGAAGCAGGCCUGCCUCGUUUGUGGGUGGGUUGACGGUAGCUGGAGAAGAAGCGCCGGCUAACUACGUG
Molecule: ribosomal RNA, 494 nt
Filed under: uncultured bacterium
Lineage: Bacteria
Description: partial 16S ribosomal RNA
Rfam family: Bacterial small subunit ribosomal RNA
Source: RNAcentral